This is a long non-coding RNA of Triticum dicoccoides, 259 nucleotides long. RefSeq lists it as uncharacterized. The transcript is spliced from 3 exons. The record is from RefSeq and is a predicted model, not a curated record. Lineage: Eukaryota; Viridiplantae; Streptophyta; Magnoliopsida; Poales; Poaceae.
UCUCACCAAUUUUUUCAAAGGUUGAGCCGGUAUUUUACACUAUAAUUGAAAUAACAGGUAAUCUUGAAAGCAUACCUGAAGCGGUGGAAGAGGAUCACAUAGUUUUCACUAACACAUGUAAUCUUGAAAGCAUACCUGAAGCGGUGGAAGAGGAUCACAGAGUUUUCACUAACACAGGUUCCCCAACAGAAAGCUUUGUUGCGGACGAUAAUCAGUCUGAAGAAGAAGAUGAUGAGUACUUCAUAUUUGCUGGCAGAGG